GACGAACGCUGGCGGUAUGCUUAACACAUGCAAGUCGAACGAGAAGUUUUUUAUUGAACCUUCGGGGGAUAUAAGAGACAGACAGUGGCGAACGGGUGAGUAACGCGUGGGCAACCUACCUAUCGGAGCGGGAUAGCCUCGAGAAAUCGGGAGUAAAACCGCAUAACACGGAUAUAUCGCAUGAUGAAUCCGUCAAAACUCCGGUGCCGAUAGAUGGGCCCGCGUCUGAUUAGCUAGUUGGUAAGGUAAGGGCUUACCAAGGCAACGAUCAGUAGCCGGUGUGAGAGGGCGAACGGCCACACUGGAACUGAGACACGGUCCAGACUCCUACGGGAGGCAGCAGUGGGGAAUAUUGCGCAAUGGGGGCAACCCUGACGCAGCAAUACCGCGUGAGUGAAGAAGGUUUUCGGAUCGUAAAGCUCUGUUAUUGGGGAAGAAGCAGGACGGUACC
This 451-nucleotide ribosomal RNA is filed under the name Pseudoramibacter alactolyticus. RNAcentral describes it as "bacterial SSU rRNA". It matches the Rfam family "Bacterial small subunit ribosomal RNA", at positions 28 to 479 of the family's 1533-position model. Lineage: Bacteria; Bacillati; Bacillota; Clostridia; Eubacteriales; Eubacteriaceae. The record is from RNAcentral.